RNAcentral lists this long non-coding RNA (3541 nucleotides) under Nicotiana tabacum (common tobacco). Its description in RNAcentral is "long non-coding RNA (NTAB_LNC000314)". The record is from RNAcentral. Lineage: Eukaryota; Viridiplantae; Streptophyta; Magnoliopsida; Solanales; Solanaceae.
GGCCUAAUUCACACAAACAAGUAAAGUUUCGUAGGAAAGCUCACAUAUUAGGAAAGUUAUGACAAACUAAUUUUUAUAGUAUACUAGGUGGGGAUAGCUCGUGCCAGCACCUAGUAUGUAGCUGACGCAUUCUUUUAUCUGUCUUUGAACAAAUUUGUUAUAGUACGGUAGCAAGAUAAACCUGUUAUGAAUCCAAAUAAUGCUUACUAAAGCAAUACCGCUAUGAAGGCGCACUAUAGGCCAUUCCCUAAUAGGUGGUCUUCUAAUAGAAUCAUACAUUUGUUAGCUGGAUUGUCUUUGCAUUGUAUCCUCUCCAUCGGACCAAAAAUAGAACCGAUGUCCACCUGAGUUAAUUUGACAAAACAACUACAAAUGGUAUUUGGUGCUCAACACUCUUCUAAUGAAUUGCCUCCUGUAUUUGGAAUUUGGGGACAUACUUAUCAAUUUUGAUUCUUUCCGGUUCAAGACUUCCCUGUUUCAAAUUAAAUUAGCACGCCCUGCAUGAAAGUCUGAUAAUCGGUUGGUAGCCAUUCAGGUUUUCUUCCUCUACCCAAACUCACAGUACAUUGCAAGAUAUAGGAGUUCAGAUGCCAAACAAACAUGUACUGGUAAGUGUGACAUUGACAUGCACUCACAUUUAAUCUCUCAGUCAAAGAUCUUGUAGUCCUUUUUGGCUCUCACUCCAUUAAGAAGCCACUCACUUGAAUCCUGCAAACAAUGGAAUCAUUACUAACUGAUAGUAUUGUAUAACAUAAUACUUUAAAACUGCAACCCACAAUGUUAAUUAUUUUUCUGUUUUAGCCUUUUAGUAAUACUUAUGGAAUGUUGUCUCAUUUCCUUCUAAUAUAAACAUUGGUGAUCCUAAUAUUAUGGAACAAUGUUGUUGUAGCAUAUAAUUUAAUACUUCAACAGAAGAGUUGAAAAAAAUACUAUAAACCUGACAGGAAUGCAAGUCGUAGAAAAUAUUGCAUUCUCACAGUUGCAAUUGCUAAAUGAUUGUCAUUUAAGCAUUUAAACUAAUAUAACAUUCAGUAGAUCUAAAGAUUCUAUAACAAUAAAUAACUUUAUGUUAUUACUAAUGUGCAUAGGUAAUUGUUGGUUAGACUAAUUUACAAAAGUUCACUGCUACUCGAGGUGUAACCAUCAGCUAGGUUGGGCGGACUCUUUAAAAUUCCUGCCGCACCUAUGCCGACGCGACAUGGGCGUGGGAUCCAUAUCGGAUUUGGUCAGCUUACCUCGGGUACUUUAACUACAAUCAAUGACUGAGAAGGAUGUAUCGAAUGGUAUUUGAUUUUGGGUUUAUGUCAUACAUAUAUAAUUAUAUAAAGUGUAAGAAUCCUAUUCUAUUACGCGAAAUAUCUUAUAAAUAAAAUAUUGGUGUUAUGAAGAAUAAAGUUUAUUAGUUUUAGUUCAAUAACUUCACUGAUUGAAAUAUAUACUCGUAGUAUACAUUUAUUGGCAAUAUCUCAGCAUCCGUAUCCGCGCUCGGAUCCAUACCCCGAAUCCUAAAAUUUGUAAGAUGAAAAAUCCGACGUCUCGAUCCGCACCCGGAUUGCAUACUCGCACCCAAGUUCGAGGCUUCGAGCAAUAUAGAUCAUCAACAAAUGGCAAAAUGAAAAUAUUGCAAGGUCAUGCACCUCAAUUUCCAGAAUUGAAAGUCAAAGAUUAGCAGAAAGGAGAACAAAAAAUCGUUACCUUUAGAAAAAAAGAUAUAGUACCUUUCUUAGCUAGCCUAGCGUGCUAUAAACCUGGGGAGAACAAGAGCCAGAUCGAACAUUCCUUUCAUUCUUUUAUAACCCCCUCUCCUUAGUUGCUCCACUAAUGAGGUAUCACAUGAAAGUACUCCAAAAACGUUCGUAGAAGUAGAUUGUCCAGAACUACUACCCUGUAGAGCACAACUUCUUCUUCUAGAAGGAGGAGAUUUUACAUUUUCAUACAACUGAGAAUCAUGAUAAAGUUAUCAUUUUGGUCGAAGAAUGGCAUUGAGCAAAGCAUAACCAUCACCAGAGUGCAAGAGAUGACUCAAAGUGUUGGUAAACUCUAGUUGAAGAGCAUCACCAACAGUUGAUUGUAGAAGGAACCAGUAGGUCAGAGAUGACCCAAAGUAAACUCUACUUGAAGAGCAUCAUCAACAACAGAACCAAUAACAUUUCAGAAUUAUUUGAAGUUGGAUAAGGGGAAUAAUUUCCAAUGAAGAAUUAACUAAUGAAUUACGUUUCAUCCAAAAAGACCAAAAUUCAAGGUGAAUCAUCUUGAGAUUCUUUGAUCACAACUUGUAAGACAAACCAAGAUUUCCAUAGAAGCUAUGAAAUACUCGUUUGCUCCUCAAACUUCUAGUAUAGGAAAGGUCACUACCUUAGGACUUAAUGAUAAUUUCCUCUUCAACUCAGAAGUAUUAGGGAGUUUGUACUUCAGCUGGAUACUUUUACAAAAUAAUAAGCAUUCAAGUGCAGUAACAAAGCUGCUUUUAUGGACUUGAAAGGAAGCGAUAACAAAGAACUUGGUAAGUUUUGAAGUCGNNNNNNNNNNNNNNNNNNNNNNNNNUUAGUAUAGUAUAAUAUAUAUAUAUAUAUAUAUAUAUAUAUAUAUAUAUAUAUGAUAACGGACAUGUUUAUUGUUCAUAUUCAGAUCUUCCGUCAUUAACAGUAUCUGAAAGGAACAAAAUCAAUCCAAAGAAAGCAUGACAAUUUGCAAUUUGGAAAAGCAAAGAGAACAGGCAAAAGUAAACACCCAGUUAUGAUCAAUAUUCCAGUUUCUUUAAAAAAAAAUAUUUUGAAUAGGAGCAUGAUAAUGCGAAGAUAUGCCUUUAAAUUUUAAAAGGAGAACACUAUAAUGCUUUUGAAAAUAAUUACUCAUAAAUAAGUCGUAAAUACUAAAAGUAACUAUAAACUUACUGUAUCCAAAUCGAUAAGCCCAAUCUUCAAGUCCUCCUAAAAGAUUUUCCGAAUGAAGUCAAUGAAUGUCCUAAAGUCCUUGUCAUACUCUUGACGAUUUGAAAGUAAUAUGCAUAUGAAGUAAAAUUAGAUAAAAAUACAACCGAUCAUUUCAUAUGCUCAUACCAUUUCUUAUAGCAGAACGCAAAAAGAUAAUAUGCGUGUACAAUAUUUGCAAUUGUUUAAAAGGUGAAUUUUGUUCUUCGGCCACUACUAUUAUGCCACUUACACUUAAAGCAAAAAGCUACUUGGGUUACUUAACUCUCACUUUACCUUGAAACAAAAAAGGAUGGACAAAACCUAAAUGGAGAAACAUAAGAGGGUACAGCAGUAACCCAAGACAAAUUUGAAACCAAAGUAAAGAGAUUAUGAUAAAACACAUAGAGAAAUUAAAUAAGAGGAUACACAGUAUAGAGAUUGAAGCGGCAGAAUCGCUUACGCAGCAACAGCAUCCAUGAGGAAGAGAAUCGUUGCUUCUGGUGUGUAUACACAUAAUCACAGAGAGACCGAUCGAGAACCAUCCAAGAGGACAGCGGAGUUUUCAUUAGAUUGUCAAAAGACCAAAAUGCCCUCGGGUACGAAUUUAAUUCCAUUAAGCAAACACGUCG